UUUCAAGCUCAGUGGUUGAACAGUCGGUUGGUAACCGACUAGUUGGGCGUAGGUUCGAAUCCUACUUGAAAA
Molecule: transfer RNA, 72 nt
Filed under: Helianthus annuus (common sunflower)
Lineage: Eukaryota; Viridiplantae; Streptophyta; Magnoliopsida; Asterales; Asteraceae
Rfam family: tRNA
About the family: Transfer RNA (tRNA) molecules are approximately 80 nucleotides in length. Their secondary structure includes four short double-helical elements and three loops (D, anti-codon, and T loops).
Source: Rfam by way of RNAcentral